GUCCUUUUGAAUUUUAUAUAAGGUCUGACCUGCCCAAUGAGGAAUUGAAUGGCUGCGGUAUCCUAACCGUGCUAAGGUAGCAUAAUCAUUUGUCUUUUAAUUAAGGGCUUGUAUGAAAGGUUGGAUGAAAUAAUAACUUUCUUUAAUUUAAUUUAUGAAUUUAAUUUUUAGGUUAAAAAGCUAAAAUGUUUUUAUAGGACGAGAGGACCCUAUAGAUCUUUACAAUUUAUUGGAUAUAAUAAUUUGGUGAAUUUAUUUAUUAUUAUUUAAUAAUUNGUUUGAUUGGGGUGAUUGNNGAAUUUUUUUAACUUCCAUUUUUAUCUUUCAAAAAUUCUUGUUUUUUGAUCCAUCAAUGAUGAUUAAAAGAUUAAGUUACCUUAGGGAUAACAGCGUAAUUUCUUCGGAGAGUUCAUAUUGAUGAAGGAGUUUGCGACCUCGAUGUUGGAUUAAAAUUAGUAUUAGGUGUAGCAGCUUAAUGACUAGGUCUGUUCGACCUUUAAAGUUUU
RNAcentral lists this ribosomal RNA (506 nucleotides) under Psammolestes arthuri. RNAcentral describes it as "partial large subunit ribosomal RNA". It matches the Rfam family "Bacterial large subunit ribosomal RNA", at positions 1819 to 2597 of the family's 2925-position model. Lineage: Eukaryota; Metazoa; Arthropoda; Insecta; Hemiptera; Reduviidae. The record is from RNAcentral.